RNAcentral lists this long non-coding RNA (252 nucleotides) under Gossypium barbadense (sea-island cotton). Its description in RNAcentral is "long non-coding RNA (GBAR_LNC007764)". Lineage: Eukaryota; Viridiplantae; Streptophyta; Magnoliopsida; Malvales; Malvaceae. The record is from RNAcentral.
UUCUUUUCACCACCUCCUUUCUUUCCUCCAUUACCAUGCUUCCCAUCUUUGUUUUCUCCCGUGCCUUUCAUUACUAUAGGUAUAUCAAAAGCAUCUCCUUUUUUACCAUUGCCCCCACCCUUUUUACCAUUAAUGGGAGGACAAUUAACCAUGCCAUUGGGCCCAUAUGAUCCAUGGCCUUUUCCCAUCAUAGGUACCAUCUUGUUUUGCAUUUGGUGCCCAUGGCCAUGGCCAUGUCCAUGUCCAUAUCCA